This is a non-coding RNA of Gossypium hirsutum (cotton), 144 nucleotides long. Lineage: Eukaryota; Viridiplantae; Streptophyta; Magnoliopsida; Malvales; Malvaceae. The record is from Rfam.
UAUUAAAAAUUUUAUCCAUUUCUACAAUUGAAAUUAGUGCGUCUAAAAGAAUAAUUAGAAAGUUACUUAUGGUGUAUCGCGUGCACCUCAUUUUCAUAGACAUAGACCAAUUUUUAACAGUAGAAGCAGAUGAAAUUUUUAACA